AGUGAACGCUGGCGGUAGGCCUAACACAUUCAAGUCGAACGGCAGCACAGUAAGAGCUUGCUCUUACGGGUGGCGAGUGGCGGACGGGUGCGGAAUACAUCGGAAUCUACUUUUUCGUGGGGGAUAACGUAGGGAAACUUACGCUAAUACCGCAUACGACCUACGGGUGAAAGCAGGGGAUCUUCGGACCUUGCGCGAUUUAAUUAGCCGAUGUCGGAUUAGCUAGUUGGCGGGGUAAAGGCCCACCAAGGCGACGAUCCGUAGCUGGUCUGAGAGGAUGAACAGACACACUGGAAGUGAAACACGAUCCAGACACCUAAGGGAGGGAGCAGUGGGGAAUAUUGGACAAAGGGCGCAAGCCUGAUCCAGACAUACCGCGUGGGUGAAGAAGACCUUCAGGUUGUAAAGCCCUUUUGUUGGGAAAGAAAAGCAGCAGGUUAAUACCCCGCUGGUCUGACGGUACCAAAAGAAUAAGAACCGGCUAACUUCGUG
Molecule: ribosomal RNA, 492 nt
Filed under: uncultured bacterium
Lineage: Bacteria
Description: partial 16S ribosomal RNA
Rfam family: Bacterial small subunit ribosomal RNA
Source: RNAcentral